This 253-nucleotide ribosomal RNA is filed under the name uncultured bacterium. RNAcentral describes it as "partial 16S ribosomal RNA". It matches the Rfam family "Bacterial small subunit ribosomal RNA", at positions 524 to 776 of the family's 1533-position model. The record is from RNAcentral.
GACGUAGGGCGCGAGCGUUGUCCGGAUUUAUUGGGCGUAAAGAGCUCGUAGGCGGCUUGUCGCGUCGUCCGUGAAAACCUGCAGCUCAACUGCAGGCUUGCGGUCGAUACGGGCAGGCUAGAGUUCGGUAGGGGAGACUGGAAUUCCUGGUGUAGCGGUGAAAUGCGCAGAUAUCAGGAGGAACACCGAUGGCGAAGGCAGGUCUCUGGGCCGCUACUGACGCUGAGAAGCGAAAGCAUGGGGAGCGAACAGG